UAAUGUUUCUGUAAUUAAAAUUAAUAACCUCUUAAAAUUAAACUAAUGUUAUUAUUAUAAAAUGCAUUUUAUAAUAAUAUUACUUUAACAUUAAAUUGAUGUGUGGGGUAUUGAGUGCGUGUACGCACUUAGUUUACUAAGUUUACUCGCACAAUAGAGAAUAUAAACUUAAAUUAAAUUUUAUAUGAGCAUUUCGAAACUCAAUUUUUCUUUUCAUCUUUUCAAUCUAAAAUAAAAUUUGCUUUAUAUUCUCAGAAAAAAAAAGUAUUUACUCAACGACGGCUCGUAGAUUAGACGACGAGACCCCUUACUAAAAUAAUAUGUAUAUUCUUAAUUCUAGAUUUUUAUUAAAAAUGCAAAUUUUUAAAUAGUACAAUAGUUGUAAUACAUUUGUCGUAUGCGAACAUUUAAAUUGUUACCCUCAGUAUAUAUGGGUACGAAUGCACACACUAGCAGUGUUUGGACGACCGGCAGCGUCAUUCAAAUAAUGGUAAUUUAUUUUUAGAACUAACUGCGGUACGUUCGUCGUUAUCUCCCUCUAUAUCCUAUUUUCGUAAGUCCCUCAAAAUAUAGCCACCUGGAAGAAUUUUUGGUUUUCUGGGCUUUAAAGGUAAAUUAUACUUAAAUAUACUAAUUAUAUAAAAUAUAAUCAAGUUUUAAAUACUAGAAUAUAAUAUAUUUAUUUAUAAUGAUGAUAUUGUAGGACCUGGAGUUAUUCCAAUAAGUAUGGGGUGGAGAACAAGCUGAUGACGAAACAAACGCCUACGGUUAAAUAUGGUCAAGACACCGGGAUUUAAUUUAAUUCAAACCGCUUUCAGAGGUAUGGCUAAAAUAUUUUAUAAAAAGAAUAUGAAUUUAUAUCAGCAAUUUCUUGACGAGACAAAAUCCGAAUUAAUUGACUUAUUGAUGGAUUGUUAGUCUCUGAAAAUGUGAUUAAAUUCGGGCUCCAAUUUGAGGGUACAUACAGCGUUCCAUACACAAUUAAUGAAGAAAAUAGGUCUUUUAAAACGUCUGCCCAUUCACUUGUUAUUGGUAAUAUAAACGAUUUGAGUAGUAUAAUCGACGAGGAAAUGUCUAAAUUAUUGUAUGAAGAGGAGGUCUACUGUGGUAAGGGUUCAAAUUUCACAAUGGAUACAGUCGAUGGAUUAUUACUAUGUGUAUAUAAGUUCAUUCCGCUUAGCGGUUCUUUAUUUAUAAAGUUACCUGAAUGUGUUGAAAACCGUAAGGCAAUUAAUGUAAUGAAUAAUGAUGAUUUAUGUUUAAAAUAUAGUAUAAUGACAAAUAAUGUUAAUGCAAUAAAUGCUAAUCUUGUUAAUAAUUACACAAACGUCGAUGAAAAAUAUAAUUUUUCAGGAUUGACAUACCCUGUGCCAUUAAAACAAGUAAGCGAAUUUGAAAAAAAUAAUCCUAACGUGUCAGUCAACGUUUACGGGUUGGAAGAAAAACGCACUGGAGAAAACCACAGAAGAUUAGAUUACAUCGUCGUGUCGUAUAGGAUUAGUAAAGUGGAAGGCCCUGACCAUGAUUUGCUUCUUUUCACCGACGGAUCAAAUAACAAUAGCGAUAAGUAUCAUUGGUGUUAUAUUAAAAAAUUUUCUCGUUUUAUUAGACCUCAAAUCACUAAACAUUCAAUCUCAUUGGCCAUAUGCAAAGGUUAUUUUAAGGGACAUCAUGAUAAACAGGUAUACCCUUACGUUUAGCUGAACAUAAGAAAUGAUGUUUUUUGAAUAAACCUCUAACACCGAUUAUGCCAGACCCCAAUACAAUGUUAAAAUUAAAAAAUUGGGAUAAUAUAAAUAAAUUAUAUUUUGUUAUUUAUGCCGAUUUUGAAGCGAUGUUGAUUAAAUAUUCGAACCAAACGCAUCAAUCAAAAACCAUACAUAAUCAUGAAGCAAUGUUCUUUGUGUACAUAGUUCAAGUUAGCGAUGCUGUACCACGGGUAUUACUAGAAGAAUUUCAAAUACAGCUUCACCCUGUUGAAUAUUGUGGAAGUAAUAGAAACGACAAUGUUGUUCACUAUCUGAAAAACAUAAUUCUACGCAAGAUUAUGAACACGCUCAAAAUGUACGGAAACGGUUCAAUCAUAAAACAAUAAGCACAGCACCGGGUUUGUCAUUUGAUGCAAUGUUAAAAAUAACGAAUGUCGAGCUAGAAUUGUUAAGCGACUACGAUAUUACUUACUUUUUAUGAAAAACAGAAUUCAUGGUGGUCUUACGCAAGCUGUGAAGGGAUACAGCAAGGCGAGUAAUCCACAACUGUCCGAUUAACGCAACGAACUUGUUGGGCAAUGUCACAACCACAUUGACUACCCCGAAUCACUACAUGAUGCACACUCAGACUUAUUUUAUCUGAGCGAAAAAAUUUUACCGCCGUGUUCUAUCGUUCCUAAAUUAUGUGCUACUCUAAUUAAUAAAAAUAAUUUUAUAGUACAUUAUUCCGUUUUGAAACAAGCGACAUACGUCAUAACAAGGGACCUAGGAUAUUGCAAUUCGAGCAGAGUGCAUGGUUGUCAAAAUACAUUCAACUCAACAUGGACAAACAAAAGAUAGCCACUAGUGAAUUUUUAUAAAUGAAUGAAUAAUGCUGUAUUUGGUAAUUAAUAAUAGUAUUGUUAUUAUUUAAUAGAAGAGAAUGAAAAUGAAUUUAGUUAUAAAUGAAAAAACAUUCAAACGGUUGGUUAAUAAAGCAAAUUUUAAAAACGUAACGAUCUAUGAUGAAACAUUUUGUGCAGUUCACCUAAAUCAUGAUGUUGUUACUUUUGACAAACCAAUAUAUGAUGAUUUUUUUUUUCAGAAAAUUAAGGACCGAAGGAAAACUAGCAUUUAGUAAUUAAAAAUUAUUAUUAUUAUUGAUUUUUUUAAUAAUUAUAAAUGAUUAUAUAAUUCUAUAAAAAUACCACCAUUGACAACUACGAGAUUAGUAAAGGUUAUCAAUCCAUCACUCAACCACCUGUUGCACACAACAUAUAUCACAUUAGAUUUAAUUAUUUAUUAUUAAAGGAUGGGGGGGUUAUAAUAUUAUUAUUUCUGAGAUUUUUUUUUAAAUUACACACAUAUAUAUAUAUAAUAUACACUAACACACUCUCAGUACUUACUACUAGAUCACUGGUUUUGUGCAGGCGAUCCCUCCCACCUCCAGUGACUCUAAUUACACUCAUUACACACCAAUAGGUUGGACAGUUCUCAAGUGGUAUAUAUUAAGUUUUUUUUUAACUUAAAUUUUUGUAAAUUGCAUUUAUAACAAUAAUAUAUGUAAUUACCUGUAAUAUGUAUUGUAACACAAUUUUUUUUUGUAAACUAUAUUCAUAAAAAUAAUGUUUCUAUAAAAAUCUCUAACAAUAAAAUA
This is a long non-coding RNA of Daktulosphaira vitifoliae (grape phylloxera), 3345 nucleotides long. RefSeq lists it as uncharacterized. The record is from RefSeq and is a predicted model, not a curated record. NCBI's taxonomy places the organism in Eukaryota, Metazoa, Arthropoda, Insecta, Hemiptera, Phylloxeridae. The transcript is spliced from 3 exons.